RNAcentral lists this ribosomal RNA (256 nucleotides) under uncultured bacterium. Its description in RNAcentral is "partial 16S ribosomal RNA". It matches the Rfam family "Bacterial small subunit ribosomal RNA", at positions 524 to 776 of the family's 1533-position model. The record is from RNAcentral.
UACGUAGGGGGGCAAGCGUUAUCCGGAAUCAUUGGGCGUAAAGCGCGUGUAGGCGGUUCCGUAAGUCCGCUCUGAAAGCCCAGGGCUCAACCCUGGGGAGCGGGUGGAUACUACGGAACUGGAGUACGGAAGAGGAGAUUGGAAUUCCUGGUGUAGCGGUGAAAUGCGCAGAUAUCAGGAGGAACACCAACAGCGAAGGCAGAUCUCUGGGACGUUACUGACGCUGAGACGCGAAAGCGUGGGGGAGCGAAACAGG